AUUGAACGCUGGCGGCAGGCCUAACACAUGCAAGUCGAACGGUAACAGGCCGAAGCUUGCUUCUUUGCUGACGAGUGGCGGACGGGUGAGUAAUGUCUGGGAAACUGCCUGAUGGAGGGGGAUAACUACUGGAAACGGUAGCUAAUACCGCAUAACGUCGCAAGCCCAAAGAGGGGGACCUUCGGGCCUCUUGCCAUCGGAUGUGCCCAGAUGGGAUUAGCUAGUAGGUGGGGUAACGGCUCACCUAGGCGACGAUCCCUAGCUGGUCUGAGAGGAUGACCAGCCACACUGGAACUGAGACACGGUCCAGACUCCUACGGGAGGCAGCAGUGGGGAAUAUUGCACAAUGGGCGCAAGCCUGAUGCAGCCAUGCCGCGUGUAUGAAGAAGGCCUUCGGGUGGUAAAGUACUUUCAGCGGGGAGGAAGGGAGUAAAGUUAAUACCUUUGCUCAUUGACGUUACCCGCAGAAGAAGCACCGGCUAACUCCGUG
RNAcentral lists this ribosomal RNA (490 nucleotides) under uncultured bacterium. Its description in RNAcentral is "partial 16S ribosomal RNA". It matches the Rfam family "Bacterial small subunit ribosomal RNA", at positions 30 to 507 of the family's 1533-position model. The record is from RNAcentral.